RNAcentral lists this small RNA (560 nucleotides) under Pan troglodytes (chimpanzee). Its description in RNAcentral is "processed transcript". The record is from RNAcentral. Lineage: Eukaryota; Metazoa; Chordata; Mammalia; Primates; Hominidae.
GAGUCGGUUGGGCUGAGGCCCUGAGCCCCGACUGUCAGAAGGAGCCUGAGGCUGAGGUGGAGGCUGGGAGUUUGGGGCUGGUGGAUCCUCUGAAGGCCAUGGAAUCCUCCACGGGGCCCAGGAUGCCUUUGCUCAAAUACUGCAGCGUGGCCACAAGCCUGAAGGCCCCUGGCUGGGACGGUGCUGCUCCACCCUGGAACCUCUCCUUCACCUACCCCUUUGCCCUCCAAGCACCCUGGCUCACCGGGCACAAGCCCCUUGCAAGGCACGCCUCUUCUUGCCCGUGUCUCCACGUUGCCGACCCAGCAUGGCAGGGGCCUGGCUGGCUGGGAAGAGCUGGAGAUGCUGCCAACACAUGGGUCCUAGCAAGAAGGGAAGCAGAUGGUUUUUACUACCGGGCCCAAAUAAAGGCCGCUCCCGAGCUAACCCUUUCCUCGUUGACUGCAAGGGCAGUGCUGAGGGCGGCUCUGUGGCCACAAUCGCUCCUUGCCUACAUGAGCCUCAUAGGUGAACAACCAUCCUGUUGGUCUUGGACACAUCCCUGGUUGGUCUUGGACACA